UGUUUCGGCAAGGGGGUCAUCCCGACUUACCAACCCGAUGCAAACUGCGAAUACCGGAGAAUGUUAUCACGGGAGACACACGGCGGGUGCUAACGUCCGUCGUGAAGAGGGAAACAACCCAGACCGCCAGCUAAGGUCCCAAAGUCAUGGUUAAGUGGGAAACGAUGUGGGAAGGCCCAGACAGCCAGGAUGUUGGCUUAGAAGCAGCCAUCAUUUAAAGAAAGCGUAAUAGCUCACUGGUCGAGUCGGCCUGCGCGGAAGAUGUAACGGGGCUAAACCAUGCACCGAAGCUGCGGCAGCGACGCUUAUGCGUUGUUGGGUAGGGGAGCGU
RNAcentral lists this ribosomal RNA (331 nucleotides) under Escherichia coli. RNAcentral's name for it is "partial 23S ribosomal RNA". It matches the Rfam family "Bacterial large subunit ribosomal RNA", at positions 911 to 1239 of the family's 2925-position model. The record is from RNAcentral. Lineage: Bacteria; Pseudomonadati; Pseudomonadota; Gammaproteobacteria; Enterobacterales; Enterobacteriaceae.